UAUCAAUUAAGCGGAGGAAAAGAAACUAACAAGGAUUCCCNUAGUAACUGCGAGUGAAGCGGGAAAAGCUCAAAUUUAAAAUNUGAUGGUCCUUGNGGCUAUCCGAGUUGUAAUCUAGAGAAGUGUUAUCCGCGCUGGACCGUGUACAAGUCUCCUGGAACGGAGCGUCAUAGAGGGUGAGAAUCCCGUCUUUGACACGGACUACCAGGGCUUAUGUGAUGCGCUCUCAAAGAGUCGAGUUGUUUGGGAAUGCAGCUCUAAAUGGGUGGUAAAUUCCAUCUAAAGCUAAAUAUUGGCGAGAGACCGAUAGCGAACAAGUACCGUGAGGGAAAGAUGAAAAGAACUUUGGAAAGAGAGUUAAACAGUACGUGAAAUUGUUGAAAGGGAAACGCUUGAAGUCAGUCACGUUGGCCAGGGAUCAACCUUGCUUUUGCUUGGCGUACUUUCUGGUUAACGGGUCAGCAUCAAUUUUGACCGGUGGAUAAAGGUCAGGGGAAUGUGGCAUCUUCGGAUGUGUUAUAGCCCUUGGUUGCAUACAUCGGUUGGGAUUGAGGAACUCAGCACGCCGCAAGGCCGGGUUUUUAACCACGUACGUGCUUAGGAUGCUGGCAUAAUGGCUUUAAUCGACCCGUCUUGAAACACGGACCAAGGAGUCUAACAUGCACGCGAGUGUUUGGGUGGAAAACCCGAGCGCGUAAUGAAAGUGAAAAUUGAGAUCCCUGUCGUGGGGAGCAUCAAUGCCCGGACCAGACCUUUUGUGACGGUUCCGCGGUUGAGCGUGUAUGCUGGGACCCGAAAGAUGGUGAACUAUGCCUGAAUAGGGUGAAGCCAGAGGAAACUCUGGUGGAGGCUCGUAGCGAUUCUGACGUGCAAAUCGAUCGYCAAAUUUAC
Molecule: ribosomal RNA, 891 nt
Filed under: Tricholoma saponaceum
Lineage: Eukaryota; Fungi; Basidiomycota; Agaricomycetes; Agaricales; Tricholomataceae
Description: eukaryotic LSU rRNA
Rfam family: Eukaryotic large subunit ribosomal RNA
Source: RNAcentral